RNAcentral lists this ribosomal RNA (265 nucleotides) under uncultured prokaryote. RNAcentral describes it as "partial 16S ribosomal RNA". It matches the Rfam family "Bacterial small subunit ribosomal RNA", at positions 524 to 788 of the family's 1533-position model. The record is from RNAcentral.
UACGUAGGGGGCGAGCGUUGUCCGGAAUGAUUGGGCGUAAAGGGCGCGUAGGCGGCCUGUCAAGUCAGUAGUGGAAGUCCAUCUUUCAAGGAUGGAAGUGCUACAGAAACUGAUGGGCUUGAGUGCAGGAGAGGUUAUCGGAAUUCCCGGUGUAGCGGUGGAAUGCGUAGAGAUCGGGAGGAACACCAGUGGCGAAGGCGGGUAACUGGACUGCAACUGACGCUGAGGCGCGAAAGUGUGGGGAGCAAACAGGAUUAGAUACCCU